GAUGAACGCUGGCGGCGUGCCUAAUACAUGCAAGUCGAGCGAACAGACGAGGAGCUUGCUCCUCUGACGUUAGCGGCGGACGGGUGAGUAACACGUGGAUAACCUACCUAUAAGACUGGGAUAACUUCGGGAAACCGGAGCUAAUACCGGAUAAUAUAUUGAACCGCAUGGUUCAAUAGUGAAAGACGGUUUUGCUGUCACUUAUAGAUGGAUCCGCGCCGCAUUAGGUAGUUGGUAAGGUAACGGCUUACCAAGGCAACGAUGCGUAGCCGACCUGAGAGGGUGAUCGGCCACACUGGAACUGAGACACGGUCCAGACUCCUACGGGAGGCAGCAGUAGGGAAUCUUCCGCAAUGGGCGAAAGCCUGACGGAGCAACGCCGCGUGAGUGAUGAAGGUCUUCGGAUCGUAAAACUCUGUUAUUAGGGAAGAACAAAUGUGUAAGUAACUAUGCACGUCUUGACGGUACCUAAUCAGAAAGCCACGGCUAACUACGUGCCAGCAGCCGCGGUAA
RNAcentral lists this ribosomal RNA (513 nucleotides) under uncultured bacterium. RNAcentral describes it as "partial 16S ribosomal RNA". It matches the Rfam family "Bacterial small subunit ribosomal RNA", at positions 28 to 523 of the family's 1533-position model. The record is from RNAcentral.